UACGUAGGCAGCAAGCGUUGUUCGGAAGUUACUGGGCGUAAAGGGUGUGUAGGCGGUUGCUUAAGUUUGGUGUGAAAUCGUCCCGGCUCAACUGGGAGGUGCGCCGAAUACUGAGUGACUCGAGUGCGGGAGAGGAAAGUGGAAUUCCGUGGUGUAGCGGUGAAAUGCGUAGAUAUCAGGAGGAACACCGGUGGUGUAGACGGCUUCUGGACCGUAACUGACGCUGAAACACGAAAGCGUGGGUAGCAAACAGG
This 254-nucleotide ribosomal RNA is filed under the name uncultured bacterium. RNAcentral's name for it is "partial 16S ribosomal RNA". It matches the Rfam family "Bacterial small subunit ribosomal RNA", at positions 524 to 776 of the family's 1533-position model. The record is from RNAcentral.